CAGCCGCCGCGGUAAUACGUAGGGUGCGAGCGUUAAUCGGAAUUACUGGGCGUAAAGCGUGCGCAGGCGGUUCGUUAAGACAGAUGUGAAAUCCCCGGGCUUAACCUGGGAACUGCAUUUGUGACUGGCGAGCUAGAGUAUGGCAGAGGGGGGUAGAAUUCCACGUGUAGCAGUGAAAAGCGUAGAGAUGUGGAGGAAUACCGGUGGCGAAGGCAGCCCCCUGGGCCAAUACUGACGCUCAUGCACGAAAGCGUGGGGAGCAAACAGGAUUAGAGACCCCAGUAGUCCCUGUCUCUUAUAC
Molecule: ribosomal RNA, 301 nt
Filed under: uncultured bacterium
Lineage: Bacteria
Description: partial 16S ribosomal RNA
Rfam family: Bacterial small subunit ribosomal RNA
Source: RNAcentral